AGGGGGUUUGGUAUCAUGGCUCAGAAUGAACGCUGGCGGCGUGCCUAACACAUGCAAGUCGAGCGCGAAAGCGGCUUCGGCCGUGAGUAGAGCGGCGAACGGGUGAGUAACACGUGGAUAACCUGCCUGGAAGCGGGGGAUAACUUGGGGAAACCCGAGCUAAUACCGCAUGUGCACGCACCGCUCAAGCGGUGCGUGGAAAGACGGCCUCUUCUUGAAAGCCGUCACUUCCAGAGGGGUCCGCGGCUGAUUAGCUAGUUGGUGGGGUAACGGCCCACCAAGGCUGCGAUCAGUAGCCGGCCUGAGAGGGUGAUCGGCCACACUGGAACUGAAACACGGUCCAGACUCCUACGGGAGGCAGCAGUGGGGAAUAUUGGACAAUGGGCGAAAGCCUGAUCCAGCAACGCCGCGUGNAGGAUGAAGGCCUUCGGGUUGUAAACUUCUGUCAGGUGGGACGAAAAGGUUCCGGUUAAUACCCGGGGUCCUUGACGGUACCACCGGAGGAAGCCCCGGCUAACUCCGUGCCAGCAGCCGCGGUAAUACGGAGGGGGCGAGCGUUAUUCGGAAUUAUUGGGCGUAAAGGGCGCGUAGCGGCUUG
RNAcentral lists this ribosomal RNA (598 nucleotides) under uncultured Acidobacterium sp. RNAcentral describes it as "bacterial SSU rRNA". It matches the Rfam family "Bacterial small subunit ribosomal RNA", at positions 1 to 582 of the family's 1533-position model. The record is from RNAcentral. Lineage: Bacteria; Pseudomonadati; Acidobacteriota; Terriglobia; Terriglobales; Acidobacteriaceae.